GACGAACGCUGGCGGCGUGCUUAACACAUGCAAGUCGAACGGAAAGGCCCUGCUUUUGUGGGGUGCUCGAGUGGCGAACGGGUGAGUAACACGUGAGUAACCUGCCCUUGACUUUGGGAUAACUUCAGGAAACUGGGGCUAAUACCGGAUAGGAGCUCCUGCCGCAUGGUGGGGGUUGGAAAGUUUCGGCGGUUGGGGAUGGACUCGCGGCUUAUCAGCUUGUUGGUGGGGUAGUGGCUUACCAAGGCUUUGACGGGUAGCCGGCCUGAGAGGGUGACCGGCCACAUUGGAACUGAGAUACGGCCCAGACUCCUACGGGAGGCAGCAGUGGGGAAUAUUGCACAAUGGGCGGAAGCCUGAUGCAGCAACGCCGCGUGCGGGAUGACGGCCUUCGGGUUGUAAACCGCUUUCGCCUGUGACGAAGCGUGAGUGACGGUAAUGGGUAAAGAAGCACCGGCUAACUACGUG
Molecule: ribosomal RNA, 468 nt
Filed under: uncultured bacterium
Lineage: Bacteria
Description: partial 16S ribosomal RNA
Rfam family: Bacterial small subunit ribosomal RNA
Source: RNAcentral